RNAcentral lists this ribosomal RNA (718 nucleotides) under uncultured bacterium. RNAcentral describes it as "bacterial SSU rRNA". It matches the Rfam family "Bacterial small subunit ribosomal RNA", at positions 61 to 777 of the family's 1533-position model. The record is from RNAcentral.
GUCGAACGAAGCACUUUAUUUGAUUUCCUUCGGGACUGAUUAUUUUGUCACUGAGUGGCGGACGGGUGAGUAACGCGUGGGUAACCUGCCUUGUACAGGGGGAUAACAGUUGGAAACGGCUGCUAAUACCGCAUAAGCGCACAGCAUCGCAUGAUGCAGUGUGAAAAACUCCGGUGGUAUAAGAUGGACCCGCGUUGGAUUAGCUAGUUGGUGAGGUAACGGCCCACCAAGGCGACGAUCCAUAGCCGACCUGAGAGGGUGACCGGCCACAUUGGGACUGAGACACGGCCCAAACUCCUACGGGAGGCAGCAGUGGGGAAUAUUGCACAAUGGGCGAAAGCCUGAUGCAGCGACGCCGCGUGAGCGAAGAAGUAUUUCGGUAUGUAAAGCUCUAUCAGCAGGGAAGAUAAUGACGGUACCUGACUAAGAAGCACCGGCUAAAUACGUGCCAGCAGCCGCGGUAAUACGUAUGGUGCAAGCGUUAUCCGGAUUUACUGGGUGUAAAGGGAGCGCAGGCGGUGCGGCAAGUCUGAUGUGAAAGCCCGGGGCUCAACCCCGGUACUGCAUUGGAAACUGUCGUACUAGAGUGUCGGAGGGGUAAGCGGAAUUCCUAGUGUAGCGGUGAAAUGCGUAGAUAUUAGGAGGAACACCAGUGGCGAAGGCGGCUUACUGGACGAUAACUGACGCUGAGGCCCGAAAGCGUGGGGAGCAAACAGGA